This 408-nucleotide ribosomal RNA is filed under the name Stephanophyllia complicata. Its description in RNAcentral is "partial 16S ribosomal RNA". It matches the Rfam family "Bacterial large subunit ribosomal RNA", at positions 1992 to 2465 of the family's 2925-position model. The record is from RNAcentral. Lineage: Eukaryota; Metazoa; Cnidaria; Anthozoa; Scleractinia; Micrabaciidae.
AUGAAUGGUGUCACGAAGGUCUCACUGUCUUAAGAAAAUUCCCAGUGAAAUUGAAUUUGUAGUGAAGAUGCUACAUCCAAAUUGUUAGACGAGAAGUCCCCAUGGAACUUUACUGGAGGCCUAUGUAGCUUGAUGGUCUUACAAAUAAAUAGUUUUGAUUAUGUGGUGUUAUCCUCAGUUGAGGGUAGUAAAGCCCACUCUUUUAUUUUAAGAAAGCAAAGGGGGUAGGUCAGACAGUUUGGUUGGGGCGACCGCCUUUUAAAAAGUAACGAAGGUGGGCUUAAGAUACAUAUUAUAAUAACUGUUGUCUGACUGCAAAAGGGGGGCCUUGAGCAGACACUAGUUGUGGUGGGUUGUGUGACCCGUUAAUUUAAGGUGAAAUAGUUAACGAUAAACAGAUAAAAGUUA